This 416-nucleotide unclassified non-coding RNA is filed under the name fungal sp. Its description in RNAcentral is "partial internal transcribed spacer region". The stretch from base 1 to 46 matches the Rfam family "Eukaryotic small subunit ribosomal RNA", at positions 1786 to 1831 of the family's 1831-position model. Lineage: Eukaryota; Fungi. The record is from RNAcentral.
AAGUCGUAACAAGGUUUCCGUAGGUGAACCUGCGGAAGGAUCAUUAACACGUUUUCCAACGUUUUAUUAACAACCCCGUGAACUGUACCCCCUCACCUCUUCAACUUAAUAUGGUGGAAUAAACUCAGCCUUAUGCCUAGGUGGACAAACAAUCGGAGACAACAAGUAUCAGUUUACUGAGAAAGUAUUAUCCUUGGGGCAGCUGACACUAAAAGCCGUUGAGCUUUUAUUAAGUUGAUGUAGGCUUUUUUCGAUCCACACAUAUUAACCCCUUUAACCGUUCAGUCUCGGCUGACGUACUAUUUGACUAAUGCUUAUCAUGUUUGACUGAUCGUGAUUGAUUUCACUUUCGGACCUUACAUUGAUAUGAGUUAUGUAACUAAGCACAACUCUUAGCAACGGAUAUCUUGGUUCUC